UUAACAAUCAACGUGUUGUGGACUACGUCAGCUUUUUUUUUCAACAUUGAGAUCACGUAGGACCUUCAGCACUAUGUAUAUACAGAGGAGAAAGAGAAAGAGUGAAAGAUACAGACAAACAAAAAAAUUUACAAGACCAUCUCAUCUCACAAUUUUCCAUUGUACGACUGGUGAAGGUAGAAUGUAUCUCUUUAAUGUAUCUCUUUAAAAAUUAGAAGAAAUGCCGACAAACUAAUGACUAAAGCUAUGUACCUUGUAGGAGGAUGUCAUCUCUGUGUGGUAAUACUCAGUCUUAUGGUAGACAUGGAGUUCUGAGACUUAAAUGUCAACUUGUCGAACAGUGUUUCCCAAACUGUGUUCCACAGAACCCUAGUGUUCCGCGAGGCCUGAUAAGGUGUUCCACGAACUGCAGGAAUAAUUAACUUGGAGGCCACGACGUGAAUUAAUCUCUAUAAAAAAAAUAAGCAAGGUGUUCCUCUAACUACUCAGACUAUGCAAAGUGUUCUGUUAAGAAAAUGUUUGGGAAGCACUGUUGUAGAGGUUCUAUUUAUUAACAAGAAUUGGUUCUUGUCUAUUUGUGUCAUAGUUGUCUAAAGUUGUGGUGUGUCUGUGAUUCCCUCUAAUAUAGGAUCUCCAUUGGAUUGUGUCAAAUCUAGAAGCUCAAAACCAUUGUAGUUCUAGUGGCACUACAGAUAUUUAUUGUUUUUAUUUUACUUGUUCAUUGUUCAUUUUAUUACUUGUUACAAGUGAUGAGAUUAACGACAUAAACAAUUUCUUUAGUUAUUACAAAUUAACAACCAAAUAAAGAAAAAAAACAAUGCUAAAUAACCCCUCCCCCCCCCCCCCC
Biomphalaria pfeifferi is the source of this 847-nucleotide non-coding RNA. The record is from the annotation of a GenBank genome assembly. NCBI's taxonomy places the organism in Eukaryota, Metazoa, Mollusca, Gastropoda, Planorbidae.